CUAUACUCCGCUCGUCGCUGCAACCACAGCGGCCGGGUUUAGCAGCCCGUUUA
Cupriavidus basilensis is the source of this 53-nucleotide non-coding RNA. The record is from Rfam. Lineage: Bacteria; Pseudomonadati; Pseudomonadota; Betaproteobacteria; Burkholderiales; Burkholderiaceae.